GACAUUAGACGAAUCAUCUGGAAAGAUGAAUCAAAGAAGGUAAUAAUCCUGUAGUCGAAAAUGUUGUCUCUCUUGAGUGGAUCCUGAGUACGACGGAGCACGUGAAAUUCCGUCGGAAUCUGGGAGGACCAUCUCCUAAGGCUAAAUACUCUCUAGUGACCGAUAGUGAACCAGUACCGUGAGGGAAAGGUGAAAAGCACCCCGGAAGGGGAGUGAAAUAGAACCUGAAACCGUGUGCUUACAAGUAGUCAGAGCCCGUUAAUGGGUGAUGGCGUGCCUUUUGUAGAAUGAACCGGCGAGUUACGAUUUGAUGCAAGGUUAAGCAGUAAAUGUGGAGCCGUAGCGAAAGCGAGUCUGAAUAGGGCGUUUAGUAUUUGGUCGUAGACCCGAAACCAGGUGAUCUACCCUUGGUCAGGUUGAAGUUCAGGUAACACUGAAUGGAGGACCGAACCGACUUACGUUGAAAAGUGAGCGGAUGAACUGAGGGUAGCGGAGAAAUUCCAAUCGAACCUGGAGAUAGCUGGUUCUCUCCGAAAUAGCUUUAGGGCUAGCCUCAAGUGAUGAUUAUUGGAGGUAGAGCACUGUUUGGACGAGGGGCCCCUCUCGGGUUACCGAAUUCAGACAAACUCCGAAUGCCAAUUAAUUUAACUUGGGAGUCAGAACAUGGGUGAUAAGGUCCGUGUUCGAAAGGGAAACAGCCCAGACCACCAGCUAAGGUCCCAAAAUAUAUGUUAAGUGGAAAAGGAUGUGGCGUUGCCCAGACAACUAGGAUGUUGGCUUAGAAGCAGCCAUCAUUUAAAGAG
RNAcentral lists this ribosomal RNA (803 nucleotides) under Staphylococcus aureus. RNAcentral's name for it is "partial 23S ribosomal RNA". It matches the Rfam family "Bacterial large subunit ribosomal RNA", at positions 325 to 1130 of the family's 2925-position model. The record is from RNAcentral. Lineage: Bacteria; Bacillati; Bacillota; Bacilli; Caryophanales; Staphylococcaceae.